UACGGAGGAUCCGAGCGUUAUCCGGAUUUAUUGGGUUUAAAGGGUGCGCAGGCGGGAGAUUAAGUCAGCGGUGAAAUUUUGCAGCUCAACUGUAAAAGUGCCUUCGAAACUGGUUUCCUUGAGUGUAGCUGAAGUAGGCGGAAUUUGUGGUGUAGCGGUGAAAUGCAUAGAUAUCACGAGGAACUCCGAUUGCGCAGGCAGCUUACUAAACUACUACUGACGCUCAUGCACGAAGGCGUGGGGAUCAAACAGGAUUAGAUA
This 261-nucleotide ribosomal RNA is filed under the name uncultured prokaryote. RNAcentral's name for it is "partial 16S ribosomal RNA". It matches the Rfam family "Bacterial small subunit ribosomal RNA", at positions 524 to 784 of the family's 1533-position model. The record is from RNAcentral.